AGUGCUGCAGGAUGCGAUUGAUUGCCUGGUGGACAAGGUUGAAUUGGGCCGAGCUUUUGUAAGACCGUCAGGGACUGAGGACAUUGUGAGGAUAUAUGCAGAAGCAUCAACUCAACAAGCUGCGGAUCAGCUUGCCGAGAAUAUUAAGUCUGCCGUGGUGGCUACUCUUGUUGCUUGAAUCGCAAAAGAAUUGAAUGUUUUGU
RNAcentral lists this non-coding RNA (203 nucleotides) under Chloropicon mariensis. Lineage: Eukaryota; Viridiplantae; Chlorophyta; Chloropicophyceae; Chloropicales; Chloropicaceae. The record is from RNAcentral.